ACCAGACUCCUACGGGAGGCAGCAGUGGGGAAUAUUGCACAAUGGGGGAAACCCUGAUGCAGCAACGCCGCGUGAGUGAAGAAGUAUUUCGGUAUGUAAAGCUCUAUCAGCAGGGAAGAAAAUGACGGUACCUGAGUAAGAAGCCCCGGCUAACUACGUGCCAGCAGCCGCGGUAAUACGUAGGGGGCAAGCGUUAUCCGGAUUUACUGGGUGUAAAGGGAGCGUAGACGGCGAUACAAGUCUGAAGUGAAAGCCCGGGGCUCAACCCCGGGACUGCUUUGGAAACUGUGUUGCUGGAGUGCUGGAGAGGCAAGCGGAAUUCCUAGUGUAGCGGUGAAAUGCGUAGAUAUUAGGAGGAACACCGGUGGCGAAGGCGGCUUACUGGACCGUAACUGACGUUGAGGCUCGAAAGCGUGGGGAGCAAACAGGAUUAGAUACCCGAGUA
This 445-nucleotide ribosomal RNA is filed under the name uncultured bacterium. RNAcentral's name for it is "bacterial SSU rRNA". It matches the Rfam family "Bacterial small subunit ribosomal RNA", at positions 330 to 792 of the family's 1533-position model. The record is from RNAcentral.